RNAcentral lists this long non-coding RNA (819 nucleotides) under Gossypium raimondii (Peruvian cotton). RNAcentral's name for it is "long non-coding RNA (GRAI_LNC011009)". The record is from RNAcentral. Lineage: Eukaryota; Viridiplantae; Streptophyta; Magnoliopsida; Malvales; Malvaceae.
AAUUAAAAUUAUCUAAAUAAAUAUUAAUUUAUAUAAUUGAGGACUAUACAAAAAUACCCUUAACCCUAAGUAACACUAACUCCAAUAACAAAACUAAAAAAUAGAUGAAUUAUAAUGGCAAUCCACCCUGAUUACUGAACAAUGAUAAUUUUAUUAAUCACUUCGAGAUAUUGCAUUUCCAAGCAAUGAAACUUCAUCUCUUGCAAACAAGGUGUAGGAUAUAUAUAUAUAUAUAUAUAUAUAUAUAUGACAACAAAAAGAUGACUGCAAGAGAAGCCAAACAAGGUGUAGGAUAUAUAUAUAUAUAUAUAUAUAUAUUCUUAUUCUUAUCAUUGUUGGCAUUUUCAUCUCUUGCAAUGAAACUUCAUCAAGCACUACCAGAGAUGAUAUAUCUUCAUAUUAUCUUUUCAUUAAGAAGCAAUCAUCCUCAUCCCAGUCAAAUAAUGCCUCUUCAGUUUCCUUUCUCGCACGUUACUUGACCUGCAAGGAACCAAGUCUCGACUAUAUUAUCCGGACUUUUUUAGAAAAAUAUUCGGCUCUAAAACCUAUGUUUACGCACCAGUACUGAUUGUUCAAUACAAAUGAGUCAAUUGCCACUUUUUUCCCAUCAUCAUUUCGGUUCCAGUGAUAGACUGCAUGUGUUCUGUUCAUGAUCUCCAGUGUCGAAUGGCCGUAACUGGCUUCCCGGAAUGCUGAAUAAUCCGGUUGGGGAUCUCUAAACCUACACCAUCGAUAUAACAUUUGCUAAAAACAAUAAGAAAAUGCCGUUUCUUAUAGAUUGAAUGUUAUACUGGUAUGUAUCAAAGACGGAUUUCGGAC